This is a long non-coding RNA of Macaca fascicularis (crab-eating macaque), 1975 nucleotides long. Lineage: Eukaryota; Metazoa; Chordata; Mammalia; Primates; Cercopithecidae. The record is from Ensembl.
UUUUUUUUUUUUUUUUUUUUUUUUGAGAUGGAGUUUCACUCUUGUUGCCCAGGCUGGAGUGCAAUGGCGCAGUCUCGGCUCACUGCAACCUCCGCCUCCCAGGUUCAAGCAGUUCUUCUGUCUCAGCCUCCCAAGUAGCUGGGAUUACAGGCAUGUACCACCACACCCGGCUAAUGUAUUUUUAGUAGAGACGGGGUUUCUCAAUGUUGGUCAGGCUGGUCUCAAACUCCUGACCUCAGAUUAUCCGCCUGCUUUGGCCUCCCAAAGUGCUGGGAUUACAGGCAUGAGCCACUGAGCCCAGCCUAAUUUUUGUAUUUUUAGCAGAGACGGGGUUUCUCUAUGUUAACUAGGCUGGUCUCGAACUCCUGACGUCAAGUGAUCUACCUGCCUCAGCCUCCCAAAGUGCUGGGAUUACAGGCGUGUGCCACCUUGCCUGGCCCCUUGGUCAACUUUUAUCCCCUGCCAACCUAAUAGGGUCACUCCCUGGGAAGGGGUGCUGGGAUCUAGAACCCAGCAUUCCCUGUUCCAGCAGGAAUCCCUGCAUGAGGUCUAGGGAGCUGACACACUGCAUCUAUGUCUAGCUUCAUGGCACUGGAGAGCAGCAAGAACUCCAGGGGCAGCGGGCACCCAGCUGCCCCUCAAGCUGCUGAGCCUGUCAGAAGGGCACUGCACUGUUUCCUCCAUUCACUCCUUCACCCAAGACACAUUGAUCAGGCAACUACUCUGGGGCAGGCCCUGUGCCAGGCACUCAGAUGCAGCUGGAAAAGAGGCAGAUGGGGCCCAUGCCCUUGUAGGACUAGUGGUUUGGCAAGAGUUAGGUGUUAAGCACAUAAUCAUUUAAUUGCAGAUAUGAAAAGUGUUUGGAGGACAUGGCAUCUUUGAGAAAAGAGAGGUCUCAUAUGGUGCAUUCUCUUUCCUUUUUUGAGACAGGGUCUUGUUUUUUUACCCAAGCUGGAAUGCAGUGGCACGAACACAGUUCACAGCAGCCUCGACCUCCAGGGUGUAAGUGAUCCUCUGGCUUCAGCCCCCACAAGUAGCUGGCACCAUCACACUCCACUAAUUUUUGUAUUUUUUGUAGAGAUGAGGUUUCACCAUGUUGCCCAGGCUGUUCUCAAACUUCUGGACUUAAGCAAUUCUCCUGCCUUAGCCUCCCAAAAUGCUAGGAUUAUAGGCGUGAGCCACUGUGCCCUGUCAUAUGGUGUAUUUUCUAGAUAACUGAAGGUCCUCGUUGAAGGAAUGAAAUAUAAGGGGCUGGAAGAGGAAGAAGAGGGCGAAAAGUCAAGUCUCUCUGAAUUGCACCACUUAUGUUCUCAGUUAUCAGUUUCACGGUGCAACCUUUGACCUGAUGCAUUCUUGUUCUGGGCUGUGAGGUGCUUCUACUGUUUUGGGCUCUCUCUGUUUUGUGUGUGUGUUGUUGUUGUUGUUUUCUUUUUUUUUUUUUUUUUUUUUUUUUUUUGAGAUGGAGUAUCUCUCUGUCACCCAGGCUGGAGUGCAAUGGCACAAUCGCAGCUCACUGCAACCACCACCUCCCAGGUUCAAGCGAUUUCCCUGCCUCAGCCUCCCAAGUAGCUGGGACUACAGGUGCACAUCACCAUGCCUGGUUAAUUUUUGUAUUUUUAGUAGAGACGGGAUUUCACCAUGUUGGACAGGCUGGUCUCUAACUCCUGACCUCAGUUGACUCACCCGCCUCCGCCUCCCAAAAUGCUGUGAUUACAGGUGUGAGCCACCGCGCCUGACCUCCCUGUUUUUUUGGUGUCACAUCUCUUUCCUCACAGUCUGACCAUUGGUACCACUUCUCCCAGGGGAAGGGAUUUGGCUUUUGGAGUGUCACCUGUGCUGUUCUGCUACUGCACAUCCUAUGACUGGUCACCAGAAGGCCAGGUGGGGAACUUGUGUGCAAUCCUUCCCUGCUGGGGUGGAUCAGACCUAAGCUUCACCAGGAACCCAGGCCUGGAGUCCCUGCGGGCCUGGGAGC